UACGGAGGGUGCGAGCGUUGUCCGGAAUCACUGGGCGUAAAGGGCGCGUAGGCGGCCUGGUAAGUAGGGGGUGAAAUCCUGCGGCUUAACCGCAGGGCUGCCUUCUAAACUGUCAGGCUCGAGCACGGUAGAGGCAGAUGGAAUUCCCGGUGUAGCGGUGGAAUGCGUAGAGAUCCGGAAGAACACCGGAGGCGAAGGCGGCUUGCUGGGCUUGGUCUGACGCUGAGGCGCGAAAGCGUGGGGAGCGAACAGG
This 253-nucleotide ribosomal RNA is filed under the name uncultured bacterium. RNAcentral's name for it is "partial 16S ribosomal RNA". It matches the Rfam family "Bacterial small subunit ribosomal RNA", at positions 524 to 776 of the family's 1533-position model. The record is from RNAcentral.